Molecule: ribosomal RNA, 506 nt
Filed under: uncultured bacterium
Lineage: Bacteria
Description: partial 16S ribosomal RNA
Rfam family: Bacterial small subunit ribosomal RNA
Source: RNAcentral
GAUGAACGCUAGCGGCAGGCCUAACACAUGCAAGUCGAGGGGUAACUAGAGUGAUAGCAAUAUUACUUUGGCUAGACCGGCGCACGGGUGCGUAACACGUAUGCAACCUACCUUAUAUUGGGGAAUAACUUCGAGAAAUCGGCGCUAAUACCCCAUAACACUGCGGAGAGGCAUCUCUUUGCAGUUAAAGCUCCGGCGGUAUAAGAUGGGCAUGCGUCCAAUUAGCUAGUUGGUGAGGUAACGGCUCACCAAGGCUACGAUUGGUAGGGGUUCUGAGAGGAUGAUCCCCCACACUGGUACUGAGACACGGACCAGACUCCUACGGGAGGCAGCAGUGAGGAAUAUUGCGCAAUGGACGAAAGUCUGACGCAGCCAUGCCGCGUGCAGGGUGACGGCCCUAUGGGUUGUAAACUGCUUUUGUACGGGAAUAAACCCUUCUACGUGUAGGAGGCUGAAGGUACCGUAAGAAUAAGCACCGGCUAACUCCGUGCCAGCCGCCGCAGUAA